RNAcentral lists this transfer RNA (64 nucleotides) under Calliopsida cinnabarina. RNAcentral's name for it is "tRNA-Phe". The record is from RNAcentral. Lineage: Eukaryota; Metazoa; Arthropoda; Insecta; Hemiptera; Cicadidae.
GUUUAAGUAGCUUAACUUAGAGCGUAAUACUGAAGAUAUUAAGGUAAUUCAUAAUUCUUAAAUA